AGCGAACGCUGGCCGCAGGCCUAACACAUGCAAGUCGAACGAAGUCUUCGGACUUAGUGGCGGACGGGUGAGUAAAACGUGGGAACGUGCCUUUAGGUCCGGAAUAACUCAGGGAAACUUGUGCUAAUACCGAAUGUGCCCUUCGGGGGAAAGAUUUAUCGCCUUUAGAGCGUCCCGCGUCUGAUUAGCUAGUUGGUAAGGUAAAGGGUCACCCAGGUGACGAUAAGUAGCUGGUCUGAGAGAAUGAUCAUCCACAUUGGGACUGCAAAACGGCUCAACCUCCUACGGGAGGACGCCGUGGGCGAUCUUGAGCAAUGGCCGAAAGCGUGACGCAGCCAUGCCGCGUGAAUGAUGAAGGUCUUAGGAUUGUAAAAUUCUUUCACCGGUUACGAUAAUGACGGUACCCGGAGAAGAAGCCCCGGCUAACUUCGUGCCAGCCGCCGCCGUAA
Molecule: ribosomal RNA, 449 nt
Filed under: uncultured bacterium
Lineage: Bacteria
Description: partial 16S ribosomal RNA
Rfam family: Bacterial small subunit ribosomal RNA
Source: RNAcentral